RNAcentral lists this ribosomal RNA (465 nucleotides) under uncultured bacterium. Its description in RNAcentral is "partial 16S ribosomal RNA". It matches the Rfam family "Bacterial small subunit ribosomal RNA", at positions 339 to 795 of the family's 1533-position model. The record is from RNAcentral.
CUACGGGCGGCACCAGUGAGGAAUAUUGCGCAAUGGGGGAAACCCUGACGCAGCGACGCCGCGUGGAUGAUGAAGGCCUUCGGGUCGUAAAAUCCUGUCAGAUGGGAAGAAAUGUUAUAUCUCUAAUAUAGGUAUGAUUUGACGGUACCAUCAAAGGAAGCACCGGCUAACUCCGUGCCAGCAGCCGCGGUAAUACGGAGGGUGCAAGCGUUGUUCGGAAUUACUGGGCGUAAAGCGCGCGUAGGCGGCUAUUUAAGUCAGAUGUGAAAGUCCACGGCUCAACCGUGGAAGUGCAUUUGAAACUGGAUGGCUUGAGUACUGGAGGGGGUGGUGGAAUUCCCGGUGUAGAGGUGAAAUUCGUAGAUAUCGGGAGGAAUACCGGUGGCGAAGGCGACCACCUGGCCAGAUACUGACGCUGAGGUGCGAAAGCGUGGGGAGCAAACAGGAUUAGAUACCCCCGUAGUC